GCAGACAGCCCGGCGAACCGCGCAAUGCGCUUCUUCUGCCUGCAGCAGAGAAAAGGAAAGAAAACUCCGCAGGGGCUCCGUUGGCUUCUCCACGAGUGACAACCAUGUUUUCCCAGAUAGAAGACCGGAGCCCUGCUCCUUUGCGAUCCGCCGAGGGCUGCAGAGAGCAUCCUCAUCCAUUUGGGCACCCCUGCCCAGGAAGAGCCCGGCCAUCCCUUUCCGGACUGGAUCCUUAAGAGGUGAAUUUUCUUCCGUGGAUUCCGAUUUGCUCCGUCUGACCAGCCUAGGCAAUCCAGCAUCGCGUGGUACCAGUGCCGCUGGGCACACUGGCUUCACGCCGGCUCCGCCUCACCAGCAAGCGCAUUCCCAGAUGGAGUCUCACUCUCUCGCCCAGACUGGAGUGCAGUGAAGCAAUCUCAGCUCACUGCAACCUCCACCCUCCCGGGUUCAAGUAAUUCUCCUGCUUCAGCCUCCUGAGUAGCUAGGAUUACAGGCAUGCACCAUCAUACCUGGCUGUAGCCCUUAUUUUAAAUUCAAUGUACUGUAAUGAUUUACUUGGUUUAUUGUCUUAACUUUCUGUUCCACUGGAAUACAGGUUCAAUAAGGAGGGAUUUUAAUCAAUUUUGUUCUCUGAAGUGUCUUCAGAACCAAAUGAGUAAAAAAUUAUCAUUGUUGACGUUUUCACUUCGUGCUAGCAUAUGGGCAAUCUCAAUUUAUUUCUAAUAACUCCCUGUAUCUUUCAGAGCAUUCCUUCAUGAAUGAAGAAAGCCCUGAUAGUGUUCCAGUAAUUUAUGUUUUUUAUGUUUGAAUUUCUUAACAAAAAGAAUUAUACCACUAAAAGAUCCAGCUUUUUUGUUUGUUUUACUUUUUGAAAAAAAAUUUAUAUUGUUAAUAGAGACAGGGUCUCACCAUGUUGCCCAGGCUGGUCUCGAACUCCCGGACUCAAGUGAUCCACCCUCCACAGCCUCCCAAAGUGCUGGGAGUACAGGUGUGAGCCACUACACCCAGCCAAGAUCCAGCUUUUUUACCAGGGAAAAUAAGAAAUUUAAUAUGCUUGUUUCCAAAGCAACAAAAGCUUUACAUGAUUAAGUAGACUGAGGGCUCUUCCAUAUUAGACGAAAAUAUCCAGCCAAAUUGCUGAGGACUCCCUCAGACAGGAAAAAAAAUGUUUAGAGCCAUCCUCACAAAGAAAUUUUCCUGUUUAAUUAUAACCUAAUUAUGACAACUUUUUUUUCUUUAGGUGGUCAGGCUCAGGAUGGACCAUGAGCUUUCAAAAAGGAAAAAGGUGGAAAUCCUCAACUAUGCUGCCAUCUGAAUAAGUGUUUCUUUGUAGAUGCACAGAGUCAAGGAAAAUUACAUCCCUGCAUUAUGUAAUGUACCAACAACGCACUUACCCACUGUUUUAAUCUAGGUUAUUCUUGAAAGCAGAGCCUGAGACAAAGGUAGACACAUUCUAUUUAUGAGUCUAACACCCAGGAGCAGGAAUGAGAGAUAGGGGAGUGAACUGGGGAAAAGGGAAACUAAGUCCGAGCAAAACCAGAUACUGCUCUUAUCAAGUGGUCCACCCCUAUUAAUGGCUACAUAAUGCAGAACUUUCUCAGGAUUCUUCUUAAACUUUAUCUCAGAACUGUCUGCCUCAGGGAGAAAGGAGAAGUAUUUCUCCAUCAGCAGCCACCUCCUGUGUGUUGAGGGCUGCUCCUUUGGGGCAUUAACCCACUGCCUCCACCACCCCAACCCUCUGGGCUGCAAAGAGCUAGCUGACAGUCCAGCUGGUACCUUAGCAUCACACAUUGCUGCAUCAGAGAGGUCUUAAGACAGGAAGCUAGAGUCUUGGUGCAUGCUCGAAGUGAGACGGUGUCAGCACAGAGCAGGGUAAAAUCUUCCCGUUAACUCUUCACCAGAGCUAUGACUGGAAUCAGAGGUUGAAAAGAUGUGAGACUGUACCCAAGAAGCAUCUUAUAAGCCUACGUAAUAUACUGUUAGACUCAUCGAAAUCUAUUUCCUCCCUUCUUUAUAAUCAAAACUUCAGUGUCCAGAAUAAAGUUGGCAGAAGGGUUAAAUUGGAAAGU
This 2069-nucleotide long non-coding RNA is filed under the name Homo sapiens (human). RNAcentral describes it as "HSALNT0313501". The record is from RNAcentral. Lineage: Eukaryota; Metazoa; Chordata; Mammalia; Primates; Hominidae.